Oryza brachyantha (malo sina) is the source of this 730-nucleotide long non-coding RNA. RefSeq lists it as uncharacterized. The transcript has 3 exons. The record is from RefSeq and is a predicted model, not a curated record. NCBI's taxonomy places the organism in Eukaryota, Viridiplantae, Streptophyta, Magnoliopsida, Poales, Poaceae.
UGAGAUUUAGAGUUAGAAAUUUGAGUUGAAUAGGUGUUGAUUCUAGAUCAAUAAUUCUGAGAGGAGUGUUGUUGGUGCGUUUUGUAAAUUCUAGUUGAUGCAAUAAAGUCAAGUUCAUUCAAUCUACGUCUUCUGCUUUUAUCUAUUAGUGAUUUUCUGGAUCUCGACGAUCUGAUCAACGGCACAGAAGCGACGCAAUCAAGUUAAUCUCAGGAGCGGCGUAAUCAGAUUGACGUCAUAGAAGCGGCGCAACUGGAGGUAAUAUCAGGAGCGGUGUAACUAUAGAUUCAGCUCCGGGAGGUUCGCGGUGGGAUGCCGGAGCAAGGCCGCGGCCGCGGUGCUGCUGCCGGGCGGCGGGUUGUAGCGGCGGCUGAUGUCGACGACCAAGGGGAAGAGCACGAGGACCAAGCGGAUCGCGAGGGAGACCGGCUGCACGCAGCGGGAGCUUCGCCGCGCCGUCAAGCUCAGGAAGAAGCUCAGCGGGAGCUUCGCCUGCGGAUGACGGGCAUGCCAGGAAGUUGUCCCAUGAUGCACAUGAUGCACCGUAGGCAUGUUCAAAGGUAGAAUCCACUACGAACUUUUAUCCAAUCUACGUUAGCAACAGUAACAAUUAGGGAUAAUUGUAUAUAUGAUCCUACUUUGAAGACGAACUACGGAACUAACCCUUCUUUAUCAGCUUUGCCGAUUUGACUCUCUUUUCAAAAACAAAGCAGUCGAGUGACCUUAUUCC